CCUACGGGUGGCAGCAGUGAGGAAUAUUGGUCAAUGGACGAGAGUCUGAACCAGCCAAGUAGCGUGAAGGAUGACUGCCCUCUGGGUUGUAAACUUCUUUUAUAGGGGAAUAAAAUGUUCCGCGUGUGGGAUUUUGUAUGUACAAUAUGAAUAAGGAUCGGGUAACUGCGUGCCAGCAGCCGCGGUAAUAUGGAGGAUCCAAGCGUUAUACGGAGUUACUGGGGUUAAAGGGAGCGUAGGUGGAUUGUUAAGUCAGUUGUGAAAGUGUGCGGCUCAACCGUAAAAUUGCAGGUGAGACUGUCAGUCUUGAGUACAGUAGAGGUGGGCGGAAUUCGUAGUGUAGCGGUGAAAUGCUUAGAUAUCACGAAGAACUCCGAUUGCGAAGGCAGCUCACUGGACUGCAACUGACACUGAGGCUCGAAAGUGUGGGUAUCAAACAGGAUUAGAUACCCGAGUAGUC
Molecule: ribosomal RNA, 460 nt
Filed under: uncultured bacterium
Lineage: Bacteria
Description: partial 16S ribosomal RNA
Rfam family: Bacterial small subunit ribosomal RNA
Source: RNAcentral